RNAcentral lists this ribosomal RNA (246 nucleotides) under Actinophytocola sp. RNAcentral describes it as "partial 16S ribosomal RNA". It matches the Rfam family "Bacterial small subunit ribosomal RNA", at positions 1 to 246 of the family's 1533-position model. Lineage: Bacteria; Bacillati; Actinomycetota; Actinomycetes; Pseudonocardiales; Pseudonocardiaceae. The record is from RNAcentral.
UUGUUGGAGAGUUUGAUCCUGGCUCAGGACGAACGCUGGCGGCGUGCUUAACACAUGCAAGUCGAACGCUGAAGCCGCUUUCGGGUGGUGGAUGAGUGGCGAACGGGUGAGUAACACGUGGGUAACCUGUCCUGUACUUUGGGAUAAGCCCUGGAAACGGGGUCUAAUACUGGAUACGCAUCACUGUCCGCAUGGGUGGUGGUGGAAAGUUCCGGCGGUAUGGGGUGGGCCCGCGGCCUAUCAGCU